Molecule: unclassified non-coding RNA, 1330 nt
Filed under: Anthonomus grandis grandis
Lineage: Eukaryota; Metazoa; Arthropoda; Insecta; Coleoptera; Curculionidae
Description: protein bric-a-brac 1-like
Source: RNAcentral
UUGUCAUAAUAUUUCUUGUUGACAUAUUUCUUGCUUCAACUUCAGUCAUCUCACAAACAUCAAAAAUUCUCAAUAUUCUAAAUCACCAGUGAAAAUAAUGGAAACGGAAUCACACGAAGAAUACUCACUGGCAUGGAAAGGCCAUAUUAACUACCUAAGAGACUCUUUAAUUCGUUUACUUCACACAAAUGAAUUGUGCGACGUAACAUUAUACACAGAAGGAGGUAAAAUUGGGGCUCACAAAGUUCUACUAGCAGCCUGCAGCGAAUACUUCAGCGACUUAUUUAAAGAAAUAAAAACAGAACGUCCCAUUAUAGUUUUAAAAGGAGUAGAAUAUGAAAUUUUACUAGAGAUUUUAAAGUUUAUAUACCAUGGCGAGGUCAGUAUUGAGCUGCCCAAGUUAAGUGCCUUUCUUGAUGCUGCCCAGUUUCUACGUGUGUCCGGACUGACUAAGGAUAAAGUUGUUAAAUCAAAAAUUGUUAAGGAAAUUAAUAUUAAUGAAUCAGAUCAAGCCUGCAAUACAGAACAUUCUAGUGAAACACAAGUUUCUGCUAGUCCAAGUUAUAUUGUGAGCAUAGAAGAAAAUGAAAAUAUAGCAGACAGACCUCCUGAAGAACCAAUGUCCUUUAGUUCAAUCCACCAAAGUAUACUUGCCAAAGCCUGUACUGUAGAACUUCCUCACUUGAGCAAAUUGUAUAAAAUUCACAGAACCUCUAAACCAGAACAAAGUCAUUUUCCCAGUAUUGACCAUCAAAAAUAUUCUAAGGAAUCUCCUCCAAGAACAAAUGAAUGGACUUCAGAUUAUGACAAUAUUAGACAAGGAAGCACAGAAAAAUCCUCUAGUGAAAUGAGCUCAACAAGCAACAGAAAAAAAAGAUUCAAAUCUGAAAGAAAAACUAGCCUUAGUGAUAUUAGUGAAAUUGAUCAAGAGGAGUGUGAGUUAAUUCGUAUGAAAAAUGACCAAUCAAUGCAAAAAGCCAUGCUGAAAAGUAAGUUGCAGUCCCUCAUAUCUAUCUCCAGCACAGUUUUAAAAUCUGUCUGCAGCUAACAGAUUUUUUAAAUACAAAUUUAAAAAAAUAGGAUAAUUAUAUUGCUCAUAAUGGUUUAAGUUAUAUUGAAAAAUCCAUGGAUAAGAAUGUCAUCAAGGGCCUAGCAAAGCAGGGAAACAGUACCAACUGCAACAUAUGCAAUGAUAUCUAUUUUCAAAUGAAUAAUCUCAAAACAUUUUUCUCAAGUUGUAAAAUUUAUGGUAUUACUGUAUCUUGAAGAAGACAUAAUUAUAAAGGUAGUUUAUAAAGUACAAUAAUAAAAGCCCCAAUUACUAAAGUAA